GUUGUGAUAAGUUAUUUCAGAAUUAAGCUGUAAAAGAGGAAAAUCACAAUUUCCUAGACUGAAACAACCACAGCUGGCAGUUGGGAAAAGCAAUAUAGGUUUUUGAUUCUAAGUUGGCUUAAAGUCCAAAGCAAUCCCAAGGAGGUUUUGACUCUGAAGUAAUUAUAAUUCUGGAUGAUUUGGAAAGAAUUCUAAACAAAUCCCAAGAAUAAGGCUAAAUUAAAAAGCUACCAUUGGAAAUAGAUAUUAUUUACUCAUUUUACACACACUUAAAUGUGCUUUCUAUAAAAGUUUGCUCCAUAAAAAUCGUCAACUGUAUUGGUUACUAUUGUUCAGGUGGAGGAUUCUUGUUACGCUCCUGUGAAGCAGUUUGGUAGAAGAAUCCUGAUUGCAAUAGCAUCCGAGAGGGAAAGCACCCAUCUGUCUGAUGCAGCUGCUGCAGUUCUAGAGUUGGGACCUUGUGACGCUGAUACAUCCAAUGGCCAGGAGAUUUUGGGGGUAGAUUCUGCAUCUAUCCAAACGGUAAGCUUUCUAGAGUUUCAUAUUCCAAAGAGUAUCCUCUCCAUCCUGAUUCAUCAUUUGACGUUGAUAUCCAAAGCAGAACAGUGAAGGACCACAAGGGAGGUGAGGACAUGUUAUAUUAGAUUCAGUAUUUUCUUUUGUGUUUUCUGAGAGGAG
Molecule: long non-coding RNA, 678 nt
Filed under: Macaca mulatta (Rhesus monkey)
Lineage: Eukaryota; Metazoa; Chordata; Mammalia; Primates; Cercopithecidae
Description: lncRNA (ENSMMUG00000053092.1)
Source: RNAcentral